CGCGGCCUAUCAGCUUGUUGGUGGGGUAAUGGCCUACCAAGGCGACGACGGGUAGCCGACCUGAGAGGGUGAUCGGCCACACUGGGACUGAGACACGGCCCAGACUCCUACGGGAGGCAGCAGUGGGGAAUAUUGCACAAUGGGCGCAAGCCUGAUGCAGCGACGCCGCGUGAGGGAUGACGGCCUUCGGGUUGUAAACCUCUUUCAGCAGGGACGAAGCGCGAGUGACGGUACCUGCAGAAGAAGCACCGGCCAACUACGUGCCAGCAGCCGCGGUAAUACGUAGGGUGCGAGCGUUGUCCGGAAUUACUGGGCGUAAAGAGCUCGUAGGCGGUUUGUCGCGUCGUCUGUGAAAUUCUGCAGCUUAACUGCAGGCGUGCAGGCGAUACGGGCAGACUUGAGUACUACAGGGGAGACUGGAAUUCCUGGUGUAGCGGUGAAAUGCGCAGAUAUCAGGAGGAACACCGGUGGCGAAGGCGGGUCUCUGGGUAGUAACUGACGCUGAGGAGCGAAAGCGUGGGUAGCGAACAGGAUUAGAUACCCUGGUAGUCCACGCCGUAAACGGUGGGUACUAGGUGUGGGUUCCAUUUCACGGGAUCCGUGCCGUAGCUAACGCAUUAAGUACCCCGCC
This 631-nucleotide ribosomal RNA is filed under the name uncultured Actinomycetes bacterium. RNAcentral's name for it is "bacterial SSU rRNA". It matches the Rfam family "Bacterial small subunit ribosomal RNA", at positions 232 to 873 of the family's 1533-position model. The record is from RNAcentral. Lineage: Bacteria; Bacillati; Actinomycetota; Actinomycetes.